Malaclemys terrapin pileata is the source of this 478-nucleotide long non-coding RNA. RefSeq lists it as uncharacterized. The transcript is spliced from 2 exons. NCBI's taxonomy places the organism in Eukaryota, Metazoa, Chordata, Testudines, Emydidae. The record is from RefSeq and is a predicted model, not a curated record.
CCCAGCAUGCUCAAAUCAAUAAUGCAGCAGGAACAGGUCCCAGAGAAGCAGUUGGGAGGGUAAGAGACUUUCCCAACCACUAAAACAGCAGAGAGGAAACUUGAGGGCAGGGCAUGUGAAGCUGGGAGCUCCCUAGUAAGCUCCUUCUCUGAGCAUGCACCAGGCAGGCUCUAGCAUGAAACUGCCUCCAGAAGAGGGUCAGGCUUCAGGCUUACAUGACCUGGGAGGCCAAACUGGAAUUUCCAUGCAUUUGUUAAGAAUAAGUGAGCGAUGGCAUCAGAGAAUGUCAACGCAGGACCUCUGGGAAUCUGGCAGACGACGCUUUGCUUCUAAAAUCUAAAAAUUGGAUCCAUUUCCUUUGGGCUGUAAAGAAUCUUGUGAGCUGGAAAAAAAUCCACAGGGGAGCUCUUGCAUCACGAAUAAUAACUUGUUCUUAUCCUUCUAAUAAAAGUAACUGGUUGUGGUGGUGUAUUGCAAA